RNAcentral lists this ribosomal RNA (460 nucleotides) under uncultured bacterium. RNAcentral describes it as "partial 16S ribosomal RNA". It matches the Rfam family "Bacterial small subunit ribosomal RNA", at positions 338 to 795 of the family's 1533-position model. The record is from RNAcentral.
CCUACGGGCGGCAGCAGUGAGGAAUAUUGGUCAAUGGCCGGAAGGCUGAACCAGCCAAGCCGCGUGAAGGACGAAGGUGCCAAGCAUUGUAAACUUCUUUUGUCAAGGGACAAAAUCAGGCUCGAGAGCCUGACCGAGGGUACUUGAAGAAAAAGCAUCGGCUAACUCCGUGCCAGCAGCCGCGGUAAUACGGAGGAUGCGAGCGUUAUCCGGAUUUAUUGGGUUUAAAGGGUGCGUAGGGGGGCCGUUAAGUCAGCGGUGAAAGCCCCGGGCUCAACCCCCGCGGAGCGGUUGAAACUGGCUGUCGUGAGAUGUGGAGAGGUAUGCGGAAUGCGCGGUGUAGCGGUGAAAUGCUUAGAUAUUGCGAAGAACUCCGAUUGCGAAGGCAGCAUACCGGCGGCGAUCUGACGCUGAGGCACGAAAGCGUGGGUAUCGAACAGGAUUAGAUACCCUGGUAGUC